Molecule: long non-coding RNA, 1365 nt
Organism: Aedes albopictus (Asian tiger mosquito)
Lineage: Eukaryota; Metazoa; Arthropoda; Insecta; Diptera; Culicidae
Exons: 3
Source: RefSeq, a predicted model, not a curated record
UGAAACCAAAAAUGAUAUUAUUUCCGUGUAGGCUUACCCGCGUUCCAUGUCUCUGAUCCCAUAUAAGUUGCGAUUCUACAGUAAAGGCCUGAUCAAAACUAAAGAUUUGCGUUCCUAAAAGGAAGUACACGAAAAACACCGAACAUUUACGAGCUCGGGUAUCGUCGGUCAAGGGCAUAAGUCCAACAUUCUGAACAAUCCAGUCUCUUAAGUCUAAACCACCGAACAGUUAAGACACGGCAGUGCGACAUAGAAGAAAAAGUUGAACUAUUAAUUUUGUAGAGCUAGUCGAUGAUUGGAUUAUUUCUGGUGUAAAGUAGUGAGUGCGAAUCCCAAAACUGAAAAGUUAGAAAAACGUGCUUUUCGAGAAGAAAGAAAGCUAUUGUGAAUCCUCGUUUAAUAGUAAUCAGACUUUCCUUCAAGUGAAGGUCCACCCCUAGGACGUAGUGGUAACCGUCCAAAGUCACGGCCACCGACGAUAUUCGUCGAACCAUGUUGGGCCGAUGAGCAUUGUGCCAGUGCAGCAUAACAACAUCGCGAGCAUCGAGCAUCGAUGUUGCCAGUGACAGGUCAUCCUAGCCAAGCCUUCAACCUCCGUUACCUCCAUUGACGGAUAUUCACCACUAGUCCGAACGUACCGCUACGGGGUGAUUGUGACGUUCACCACGUGACGCAACAUAUGGUGGUUCAGUUGCCGCUAUCCGCCGAGAGAGGGCCGCGGAAAGCAUAAAACCGCACACGUGCAGGCUACCCGAUCAAAAAGGUGACACCCUGAAGAGAACGUGUUUCGGUGGCAGGAUUCCGUGCGAGUAAAGGAAAGAUUCGCAUUAUCAGAAAGGAGAAGGAGAAAGGAAAAGAGGAUCGUACAGUGAGAAAAGAACAAGUAAGCGCUACCCAAAAUUGUAUAUACUAACCCCCUAGAGUUAAGAUCAUUAUGUACAUAGCAACACACCUUUUCAAAGAUUAGUUUUAGUAAAACUUGGUACCAAAUGCAUAACUCUUUUGGCAAUUUUAGUAAGUUCAAGUGAUUGGAUGAGAGAAUACUGGUGAUUUCAGAUUUCGGUGUUCGGGUCGAGUAGAAUAGGCUCUGGGUAGGAAAACCUACAAAGGAAACCUAUCCACCCUGCAGUUUGAUAGCUUUUCUUUUGAUAGUUUGUUUCUGUUCGUUGGAGGUCGUGUGCUAAGGUUUCGGUCGUGGGUCAGCGGUCGCGAUUUAGGACCUGCCCUGAGGUCUCGCAGCCGGGUCGGGAUUCUUUGGUGAGACAACUCGCUUCCUUCGCGGCAAGAAAUAGCUUGCCUGGCGCUUAAGCGGAGGUAGUAUCAAAUCCGAGAUUUAUGCCGUCCCGAGUCCCGUUACAGGUUGUU